AAAAAUGAGUGAAAAUGAUGUUUGAUUCAAGUCAUAACCAAAAAGUAUGAUUUUAGUCAAAUGGAAAAGUGAUUUGAAUCAAGAUCUAAAACAUAUGAGAAACUCAUUUGUGUGAUUCAAGUCACAAUAUGUGUGAUUCGAGUCACAUGAUUCGAGUCAUGAAACAUGUGAUCCAAAUCAAAUGAAAUAGUGGUAAACCAAAGAAAUGUUG
This 211-nucleotide long non-coding RNA is filed under the name Lathyrus oleraceus (garden pea). RNAcentral's name for it is "Pisum sativum (pea) long non-coding RNA (PSAT_LNC032275)". The record is from RNAcentral. Lineage: Eukaryota; Viridiplantae; Streptophyta; Magnoliopsida; Fabales; Fabaceae.